UACGAAGGGUGCUAGCGUUGUUCGGAAUCACUGGGCGUAAAGCGCGCGUAGGCGGCUUGUCAAGUCAGGGGUGAAAUCCUGAGGCUCAACCUCAGAAUUGCCUUUGAAACUAGCAAGCUGGAGUGUCGGAGGGGAUAGCGGAAUUGCUAAUGUAGCGGUGAAAUGCGUAGAUAUUAGCAGGAACACCGGUGGCGAAGGCGGCUAUCUGGACGACAACUGACGCUGAGGCGCGAAAGCGCGGGGAUCAAACAGG
RNAcentral lists this ribosomal RNA (253 nucleotides) under uncultured bacterium. RNAcentral's name for it is "partial 16S ribosomal RNA". It matches the Rfam family "Bacterial small subunit ribosomal RNA", at positions 524 to 776 of the family's 1533-position model. The record is from RNAcentral.